Small nucleolar RNA from Moniliophthora roreri MCA 2997, 112 nucleotides. It matches the Rfam family "Small nucleolar RNA Z13/snr52". Rfam says of the family: Z13 or snr52 is a member of the C/D class of snoRNA which contain the C (UGAUGA) and D (CUGA) box motifs. Most of the members of the box C/D family function in directing site-specific 2'-O-methylation of substrate RNAs. Lineage: Eukaryota; Fungi; Basidiomycota; Agaricomycetes; Agaricales; Marasmiaceae. The record is from Rfam.
UUCAAUCUCAAGAUGAAUCAUUACGGAUGUAAAACGAGUUCAAGGACUCGGGAGUCCGACAGCGCAAAAAACCCAUGUGGAUCUUUCCGUUGCCUUCCUUCUGACACCUCCA